This 450-nucleotide ribosomal RNA is filed under the name uncultured Glomeromycotina. RNAcentral's name for it is "SSU rRNA". It matches the Rfam family "Eukaryotic small subunit ribosomal RNA", at positions 569 to 1024 of the family's 1831-position model. The record is from RNAcentral. Lineage: Eukaryota; Fungi; Glomeromycota.
AGCAGCCGCGGUAAUUCCAGCUCCAAUAGCGUAUAUUAAAGUUGUUGCAGUUAAAAGCUCGUAGUUGAAUUUCGGGGUCAGCAGGUUGGUCGUGCCAAUGGUAUGCACUGGCCUUGCUGAUUCCUACCUCUUGAUGAGCCGUAAUGCCAUUAAUUUGGUGUUGCGGGGAAUCAGGACUGUUACUUUGAAAAAUUAGAGUGUUUAAAGCAGGCAAGCGCUUGAAUACAUUAGCAUGGAAUAAUGAAAUAGGACGUUUGAUCCUAUUUUGUUGGUUUCUAGGAUUGACGUAAUGAUUAAUAGGGAUAGUUGGGGGCAUUAGUAUUCAAUUGUCAGAGGUGAAAAUUCUUGGAUUUAUUGAAGACUAACUACUGCGAAAGCAUUUGCCAAGGAUGUUUUCAUUAAUCAAGAACGAAAGUUAGGGGAUCGAAGACGAUCAGAUACCGCCGUAGU